AGACCUAAUGACUAACUGACAGAUGGGAGAAACUGAGACAGGGGUCUCCCUGCCUCAGUUUCUUCAUUUGCCAACAUGGGGCGGGGGGCUGUGGCGAUGAAGAGGGGAACCUGACGGGCAGUGGGAACUCAGGCAAGGUGUUAGAGCUCCUCUUGGAGCCCUGUGUCCUUAUCUCUUCCGUGAGUUGUCAUGGCAGAUGAUCCCCGGGGCCUUACUCAGCUCCAAACAGCUCCGGACAUGGAUGGGCUGAGAGAGCAGAAUGAUCGGAAUGCAAAUCCCAGUGCCAAGGAGGGUCAAACAGCCCUUCACGGGACCCUGGCAUAGGCCACAUAGAGAGCCGUGGAAGAGGCCCAAACCCCGUGGUUCUGGAGGUAGCAAGCAAGGGAGGGUACCAUCUGCCACAUUCUGGGCUGGGAUGUCACUGCCAGACACCACUCUGUAUCCAAAAGCACCUCAGAAGAGCUACCAGCCCAUUCACUCCACCAGGACGCAUCCUUGUAUCCUUCGGGGGUACUCCACACUCACAAUCUUAACCUUGACCUCGCUCCUCAAAGGUAAGUCUGCUCAUACUUAGGACUGUUUUAUAGGUGGAGAAACUGAGGCUGAAGGAGAUAUAAUCACUUAAGGUCUCUGAGCUGGGAGGAGACUUCUGCCUGUUUGCGUCUCAAGCCCACGCUCUUCACCUUGAGCCUCAUCUCUGUUCCCUUCUCUAAAAUGGGUUUGAUCAUUAUGCAUUAGUCUCCUGAGCAGCUGGCUUCAAGGAACCAAAGGGAGCCAUAUGUGUGUGAAAAGGACAUGAGCCUCUCUGGUGACCUUUACUCCCUUAAGACCCGGGUGUCUGGACCACAGCCUGAUGAGAGGACCUUGAAUUCAUGGCACCCGUGUCUUCUCUCUCCACAAAGGAAGGUCUUCAACUUUUUGAAGAAACAGACUGUUUUCCCUCGGCCUUGGACGCAGCCUGUGGGUAUUUCUGUCCCUGGCAUUCUUUGGCUGCAGGAAGAAGAGUCAUGCCCUUCUGAGCUUCCCGUGGGUGGGGUACAAGUUGGGCUCAGUGUGCUUCUGAUGUGCUGGUUCCUGGUCAAAAUCAGCCCAGAAGGCAGUUGUGCCUCGCUCGGUCUGUCCGAAUGCGCAAGUGGAUUCCCUAGAGCCGGGCUUUGGGGGGGAGUGCUGUCAGGGUUUUCCCACUUCUGGCUGCCAACCCCAGACUGCUAUACAAAUGAAAGGCGAUAUUAUUAAGUGAAAGAGCUUUAGGAACGGGAAAAAGCUGUCUUUGGGGCAGAACAUUUAUUAUUAAUUUUGAUGGAACUUGUUCUCGAAGCUCUUAAGAACUAGAAGGACUCUUAGAGACCAUCUCGCUCAGCCUUCCUGUGUUCCAGAUUAGGAAACUGAGGCCUGGACAGCAAGGAGAAGAAUAAUGAAGAUCUCACAGACCCUUGGACCUGUCCGUGCCUGCCCAAAGUCAGCCUGUCUCUUCGUCUGUGUUUGCUGUAGCUUUGGAGGUCAGCCACUGCCUUGCCUGCUCCUUGAGUCCCACAUCCCUAAGUAGAGGGCUUGGACCAGAAAACAUCAACACGCCUUUCACUUAUAACAUCCCAUGACCUUCCUGGCCUGAUUGCAUCUGUUUACGCCAGUCCUCUUGAGAACUAUGCAAAAAGGGAAUAGCCACUUCUUUGAAGACUAGUUUGUGGGGAAAGACGCAGCAACAAGGUUAGGGUAAACUGUUUGGAAUUUAUCACUAACUGCCAUGCUUUACUGUACGCUAAUCACUAGACACAGCCAUUUCCAGCGUAACACACCACUCCACCCAUCCAUCCGUAAGUCCUGGGCACAUCUGUAAUCUCUCAUGUUUCAUGAGACUCUAAGGGCUCCAGGGCUCCCAUCAGGUGGGAUGCUGGGACCUCCGUGGCUCUGCCAUCUUCUUCUGCCAACCAGCUCAGGCUUCAAGACCCAACUCAAAGGCUACUGUCUCCAUGAAGCACUUCCCAGUUUCCGCCCCACCCCCAGCCCUUGUACCUCUAUGGACAUCCGAGCUUCAAUUCUUCUUACCAAGUAGAUUAUUUGCUCUUAGGACUGCCCCGCUGGCUUGGUCUCUUUUCUUGGGUAGAGAUCCUUUUACAAUACUAUUCUUCCCAUAAUGCUUUGUAUAUCAAAGUCACACUACACAUUUCCUUAGGUCCUUGGGACACAAGCCAAGGCCAGGAACGGUUCUGGUUCUGCUGGAUUUUGCAACCAGGUUGAGUGAUAAAGGGAUUCAGACAGUUGAGUCUAGGGCAGAAAAACCUCGGCCUCCUGCUUUCCAUGCAUACAGACAAUAAACUUCUCAAACCGGAACAAGUGCUAUCAGGGAGGAGGAAGGUGGAGGCAGAGUCAAGUGUCUCAAAGGGCUAAGGAAGCAUGUUGUGCAGCGUGAGGUAUCGAACUGAUGGUCCAGACAGAGGCUUGGGCUUUCGGUGCCGAUGUGGCUGGGUGAACUGGGGGAAGUUUUGGCCUCUCUGCCUCAGUUUCUAUUUCUGAGAGAUAAAAGCAUCAGCUGUGUCCCGAUGACGCUCUUGUUCAUUUUACAGUAACCAAGUGUGUGAGCCUGAGGAAUGGAGGCACAGAGAUGCUCCAUUCUGUUACUUCUGGUCCCCACUGCAUGGACAGUUUGGCUGAAGACCAGGGCAGGCUAGGGCAGGGCCAGUGAGGGAGUAGAGAAGCUGACCUGGAGUCAGACAAACCUGGUUCAAGGCCUGACACAUCAGUUAUGAGCUAGCAGAGAGCCUUGGGGAAGUUGGGCAAGUUCUGGUCCAUCUGUCUAGAGUAGACUAUAAGCUCCCACAGGACAGAGACAAGCCUUUUUUUUUUUAAAAAAAAACCUCACUUUUAGCUUUAACACAACAGUCAAGACAGAGAACGUCAUUUCAAAACCUCCCUCGAGCCCUUCCUGCUGGCUCCAGCCACCUGGGUGGGUUGGUGUGCCUUGGGGCUUCAGAGAAGCCAGCAGAGGCAGGGGAAGGGGCCCAGAGCCAUCUCAGUAUCAGCCAGGGCAGGCCUGAGUAGUCUUGGACCAGGGCUCAGGAUAAAGACAGGAAAACAGGGGUCGUGCCACGCCGCUGCUACAGGCCGCUGGACCGAAGUCACAGCCCUGGACAGCAGGUUGUGGGUGUGGCGGAGGGGUUUCUUGGUGUAUCUCCGGAGGCAGUGAAGUUGGGGAUUAGCUCGGCUUUCCAGAGCAUAACUGGUCCCACAGCAACGGCUUGCGUUUGUCAAGAGCUGCUGUUUGUUUAACAUCUCAAGCCCAACUCAAACACAGAAGGCAACUGUUAGGAAAGCCGGGCUCUGUGGGCUGCUGGGGGAGAGCUGGGCUGGGAAGCUGGACACCUGGUCCUCUUAGUCUUGCUCUAGUUGGGCUGUGUGGCCCAGGGAGAAAGGCUGUUUCGGUCUGCGGCAAAGGAGGGCUCAGACUCAAAGGGUGCAGAAUCCCAGCUCCUAACAGGAGUGAGGACCAACUGGUCUCAGAAACACUGCCGGGGGGAGCUCUGGUUUGCUCCUGACUACCAUUGGCAUAAACAUAAAAUCCUCACCCUAAACGGCCUGUCCCAUGUCUGAUUGUACAUCCCCCUCCCCCCCACACUCUCCACCCCCUGGCCAGGCAGCCUUCCUUUCUCUGGCUUGUAAAUGCUACUCGCAGUGAGCAUCCUCCUCCAUGAGUGCUUGAGGAUGUGCUGGGAGCUGUGGCUAGGACCCAUACCCAGAAGUGGCCACAGUGUAUCUACAACACUCUCCCCCCAUGUGUUCCUAAAUCCUGCUGCUUGUCCUCAGCAGGCUAUCUUGGUUUUUAUUCUCCCCGGCAGUGUGGGAGAUUGCCCACUUCCUCCCCGGAGUUGCUAUUACUCACUUUCUGAUUUCGAUGUCGUUUCCAGGCCUCCCUAUUUUCUCCGUAGCCUCCUCCUUGUCUCUCUUUUCUCCUCUCUUCUUUAGAACCUCUGCAUCCCCACACUGGAAGCAGGGCCAGAGGGUGGACUCAGCCAUGACUGAGAUCUCUUACAGACCAACAGCCAGAGAAAUCCUUAGACCUCCAGUACCUAUGAAGAAAUAGUUUUGACAAGGAGCAUGGCUACCUCCAGGCUUUGGAGCACACGGGGCCAGAGCUGGAAUUCAUGCCCAGCUCCCCCAGCUGUCCUGUCUACAACCACGAGAUAAGUCCCUGUACUUGCCAUUUUCAUUGCAAGAAUCAAGUUCCCAGAUUGUCUCUUGGAGAGAUUCUAGAGUGGCCAUGGCCAAUCUUUCCGGACAAACACACAGCCACUGAAGAAAAGAAAGGCCGGACGUGUCGUCAACAGCUCACAAAUCUUGAAAUCCUCCUUUGCAGGUUUAUGGCUUCUGAGAAGCAGAGGCAGCCUGUUCUCAGCACCAAACACAAUAAUUAUAAUAGCACUCGCAAUGAUUAAUCAGCCAGCGCGUAUUGAGUGGUGCUGGGCAGGCACGGCAGGGCGUUCGUGUGUGUGUGUGUGUGUGUGUGUGUGUGUGUGUGUGUGUGUGUGUGUGUGUGUGUGUGUGUUGGGACAGGGGGACAGGCAAAAGUGGUGACUCCACUCCCACAAACUCCUUAAUGGAAGAGGGUAAAGUGGCACCACAACCCUUCUUGGAAGUGUCAUAUUUAGGGAUUCUGGGGCUGUCCAAAACUGCGGAUGAUGUUCUGGCUCAGGCAGGAUCCGGAGUUUCACAGGGCUAGCCGCCGAGAGCUCCAGACUGCAUCGAAAGCAAAGCAUUGACAAACAAGAACAGGUUCCAGGCCUGUCAACCAGAUUAAUGAGGGGCCUCGCCAGGAUGAUGUUCAUGGUACAAGUGAGAGAACUUGGGAUGUUCAGCCUGGAGAAAGACACGGGGGCCAUGUGAGCUGUCACCCAAGGAGGGAUUAGCUUUGUCCUGUGGGGCCAAGCAGGGACCAGUGAUCUGCGGAAUGAUGCAACCAGCAAGCAGCGGAAGAUGGAGUGUUCUCCACGUCUCCCAGGAAGGGACAAACUGCUGGGCAUGGCAGUGACCUCAUGGUGAAGAGGGCAUGCAGGCAUAGUCUAAUGGAUCCAUUUUAGAAAGAUUCUUGGAGUUAGUCUCAUGCCUGGCACAUAGUAUGUCUAUAAGAAAUGAGUGUAUUGGGUUCAGGGGCUAGACUAGAUGCCCUCUAUGAUCCAAGUGGGUUCAGUCUAACAUUUCUGGAGCAGUCUGUCUACGUCAGGCACUUUAUCCCUCCAGCCUGGAAUGUUGUAACUCCCUGGCUCUCAGCCUCCAGAGGGGCUGCUCUGGGCAUCUUGCUGCUGAAUCUCCCCAGUGACGUUUUCUCUUGACUAUCCCCAAACCAGCCCUAAAGCCCACCCACAUCUACCCCACAUGCUGCCCCCUGCGGAGGUCCAACAUGCAAUAUGCCCAGUAGCCCUGGGGCUUCAGCAAAGGAAAUGGGCCUGUGGCAGGCUAAUUACUGGGAGCUGAUUCUAUUAAGUAGAUAGCUCGCUCCCAGCAAAGCAAUUACACCUAAUCAGCCCCUUGCAGCAGCCCAAUGGGACAGCAGUGUGAGCCAGACACACGUGUGAGCAGGGACACCAAAGCAGCCUGGGAACAGGCCUGGCAGGAUCUUCUGAGGCCAGGGAUGCUCCCAAAGUAGUCUCAGGCUACCUUGAGGUCCCAGCACUGUGGAAACAGCACCGUGGUGGUGGUGGUGGGGGGGUGACUCAAACCCCUGAGUGAAGACUGAGCUCUGCUAUGGAGGAGCUGAACUUCACUGAAGAGAACACGUCUCAGACUAGAGAGGACCCAUUCCAAGCCUGAAUCGCUAGUCGGUUAGAUUCUCAUCUAGAUUAAAGUUAGUCGAAAGAAACCCAUUUGCUGAGCUAGAGAGACAGUUCAGUCUCUUGCUUUGCAGAUGCAAGGACCUGAGUUCAACCCCACAGUCUACAUUAACAAAAACCAGACAGGACAGUGCACAUUUGUAAUCCCAGUGCGGGGAAGGUGGAGACAAAUGGAUCCUUGGGCUUCACUGGUCAGCUAAUUUAGCCUACUUGGUGAGAUUCAAGCUGGUGAGAGACCCUGUCAGUACUUGGUGAGAUUCAAGCCGGUGAGAGACCCUGUAUGUACUUGGUGAGGUCCAGCCAGUGAGAGACCCUGUCUGUACUUGGUGAGGUCCAGCCAGUGAGAGACCCUGUCUGUACUUGGUGAGGUCCAGCUGG
Peromyscus maniculatus bairdii (prairie deer mouse) is the source of this 6200-nucleotide non-coding RNA. The record is from RefSeq and is a predicted model, not a curated record. Lineage: Eukaryota; Metazoa; Chordata; Mammalia; Rodentia; Cricetidae.